Molecule: long non-coding RNA, 4582 nt
Organism: Ictalurus punctatus (channel catfish)
Lineage: Eukaryota; Metazoa; Chordata; Actinopteri; Siluriformes; Ictaluridae
Source: Ensembl
CGAUAAAAUCCACUUGACUUGACCUUCAGAAUUGAAAUUGAUUGACAGGAGAGCUACAUGGAAAUAUCAGUUCUCGGUAUCGACCUCCGCUAGCGUCUGAUGUAGCGCGCCAUGCUGAGGUUUGGAUUACCGACUCGGCGGACUGAUCUCGCUGUGUGUUGGCUUGCGUGUGGAGUCGUGUGUGUGAGUGUGUGUGUUUGCAUCGGCCCGUGCUUAUUGAUGAUGAAUUCCGGGGCUAAAACGUUGGCAGUGUGUGCGUCUGCUUUAAUCAGCCAUCUGCUCUGUCAGCCCGAGGCUGUGCUAAUAAGCAUUUCUCUCCAAAGCAGUGCAUGUGCUUUGUAUGUGUUUGUAUAUAUACGCGAGAGUACGAGUGUGUGCGUGUGUGAUUUUGUUUACCCGAGUGUACUUGCAGGGCUCGUUUUGUUGAAACGAGGUCGUCUUUUUUGAUUGGAUCUGUUUGGAAGUUCUCCUCACGUCUGCAGGUAAAAAAAAAACCUGGACUGCAUUAAACUUCUCGUGUAGUCUGGAGAUGUGUGUUUACGGAAAUUCACUCGUUUCCUCGAUCUGAGUUUGGGCCUUAUUUCUUCAUCUUUCCAGCGAGCGAGCGAGCGAGCGAACAAGUGAGCGAGUUAACCGGCUUAAGUUUAGUUAUCUAAAUAAUAUGCUUACAGAUUAACAGCUUAUUUUAUUUCUUACGUUAUUUUAUAAAGUCUUACAAACUACCAGGAGGCUAAUUAGCUAUGUAGCUGUUUAUGCUUAGCUACUUCAGUCGCAAUCUUUUACUGUAAUCCUGGCCAGCUAUCUACAUUUAGUAUCUUACCUUCAUGCUAGCUAUUUAUUUAUUUCAUUUAUUCGUGUGUUCAACUUAUCUGGCACUUUAAUCACCCUUUAAAGUUAGAUUUCAUACCGUUAUCUUCAAGCUAGCUCUGUUUAGUACAGGUAUGUUCAAGCUAGCUAUAUUUAGUACCUUAUCUCAUGUCACUAUUUGCUAGUCAUACAUAUAUUUAGCUAAUAAACCCAAUGGAAACCCCUUAUUAUAAAGUUACCUUAUCAUAUUUCGAUAUAAGCUAGUCAUCCUAAUGUUUAGCUAACAUACACCGACAGCAACCCCUCACUAUAAUGCUAGCCAGGUAACACUAUUUAGUACCUUAUUUUAACCUAGCUGUAUUUAGUACUGUUAUCUAUAUCUAGCUAUAUUUCAUUUCUUAUAAUCAAGCUAGCAAUAUUUAGUAUCUCACGUUCCAUCUAGCUAUAAUUAGUACCUUAGCUAGUCAUCCUUAUGUUUAGCUAACAUACACCAACAGCAGCCCCUCAUUAUAAAGUCAGUCAGGUAACUAUAUUUAUUCACUCAUUUUAAGCUAGCUAUAUUUAGUACGGCUAUUUUAAGCUAGCCAUAUGUAGUACUGUUAUCUUCAGUCUAGCUGUAUGUAGUCUCUUAUCAACAAACUAGCAAUAUUUAGUAUCUUACGUUCAAUCUAGCUAUAUUCAGUACCUUAUCUCGUCGCUAUUUGCGACUAGCCUCGGAAACCGCACGCUAUCAUGUCAGUUUAGUUACGCCGCUGUUUGCUAGACAGCAAACGUGAGCUAGCUAACUACUGUGGCCAACAGUUCAGCUAGCAAGGCUCUUAUACAGACAGAGUAAAGGCAAAGUGAUAGUGAAAAUUACACCGUGAUUUUAUACUUUACACUAACGGUUUGUCAUCAUCUUGUGGAAACUUGUCGAAACACUCAGUAAGAGUGCAUUUCCAUGGAAUGUAGCAGGUGUGUGUAGGACACGUUAUUAUUUAUUUUUUUGCUGAUGAUAUCAUAUCGCUCCUUUCAAAAUGUUCACUGGAGCAGAAAAUGCUAGGAACAAACAAAAGAACAGCACUUAGAUGGAAACUUCUUUCUCUCUCUCUGUCUGUCUCUCUCUCUCUGAAACGACUGAAAUCCACAGAACUUUUCAUUUUCAUCUCACUGAGAUGUCACGUGCCAGAUCCUCCGUGUUUCUUUUCGAAAUAAAACACACUAAUCACCGCCGAGAUUAGCUGUAUAGUUACAACCCACUAGUUAAUGUAAUGUAGGGCUAGCUGGAGACAUUUAUGUUAGCUAGCUAACUAGCUUUUAGGGUUUUUUGUUUUGUUUUUAUACACAGCUAGGUGGCGCUGCACACAGGCUCGAUCGCAAGGGAACAACUUUUGAUACCUCGAUUUUUUGCGCAUAAAUUUGUAUAUAAAUUGCUUUGGCUAACCUUUCCAGUGUGCUAGCUAGCUUGUUAAGGUUUGCUAGAAAUGGUAGGUGAUGCAGAAGCAAAACUUUAUGGUUGUACCGUGGCUAAUCUUUCUCAGCGAUUUCUCAGCGUUUAAGGAUGCGAGAAUUUCUUUGUUUUACUUUAUUUAUGGUCAAACUUUUUUUUUUUUUUAAAUGGUUAUACAGUAUACGUAGCAUACGGACGAGCGCUAGCUGUGCUGUGCUGAGUAUCGUUCGUGGUAACUAGCUAGCUAACUCAGUUACCUCAGUCUACGUGACGUCGCUCCACAUAGACAUAUUUAUAUUUUCCUGAAAUAAGGAAUUAACAAGUUUUUAUUGUGAACGGAGCUGUCCGUGUUAUACGAAUGCUAGCUGUGCUUGGCGUCACUGAAAUGCUAAGAGGAAUACGGGAAGAGGAGAGAGGCAGGGAGGGGGUGCAGCAAGCUCUGUACUCUGUGUUCUAUAAAUAAAUAAAUUGUAAAAACAAUAAAAAAUUCCCACGAAGCGGUCGUAACAUCCCGUAACAGACUGGGCCAAUUUUGUGGACGAAGGUUGCCAGAUAGUGAAAUAUACUUCAGCCGGCGGUUCACGAACGCCUCUGGAGGCCGAGGUUGUUCAACUUUAUUGUUCUUCCCUCGACUCAUUUCUCAGAGGUCGAAAAGAGUGUGUAGUCAUGUAGUGGGAGCAAACCGCUCGGACUUUCCACGAGCGUGUGUGUGUGUGUGUGUGUGUGUGUGUGUGGCAAGAGGAGGGACUUAUCUGUUUUUCCCCCUGAGUCCAUGGUUUGUUUGUUUUAAUGGCCGCCUUUUUUGGUAUUGUGCCCUUUUAAAGAACGGCUUCCCGUGUGGCUACGCGGCUAACGGGAGGAAAGGAUGGAAACACACACACACACACACACACACACACACACACACACACAGAGCCAAAAACACACACCCUAAAAGUGCACGUCCUUCAGGGCACUCGAAGGAGGAAGAAAGUAAGAAAGGGGGAUGGUGGUGUGUGUGUGUGUGUGUGUGGGGGGUGUUGGUUUGGGAUGGGGGGCACUUCUUUCGAGAAUACACUAAUGCACCUUAUCCUGUCCAUAAAACAACCCCCCGCCCCACCACAAAACCCCACCCACAGUUAUGGACCACGAGUGGGUGGAGUUUAAUUCUGUCCUCAGGCGUUUCCUGUUGCUUUAGCUGAUGUUCUAGAUGCAGGAACAGCAGGCAGACCCACUGGCAGGACUGUUACAUGUGUGUGUGUGUGUGUGUGUGUGUGUGUGUACCCCUUCCCCACCCGUGACCUUUGACCUGUACACCUCCAGCUGAGUCACUCACACACUACCACAGUAGGUCUUUCAGAAAGAAGGAAAAAUAGAGAGAAAAGUGUUGACAUGACUUUCUAAUGUGUGUGUGUGUGUGUGUGUGUGUGUGUGUGUGUGUGUGUGUGUGUGUGUGUGUGUGUGGAAGCUGCCAGAGGGGAGUAAAGGGAAAAGUGUCAGAAAAACAGUGUGUGACUGGGAGAGAAAGAAAGGAGGGAGCAAAAAAAUUGUCAGAAACGGGGACACACAGUGGAAAACAAACCCGAAAAGGUAGAGAGACGUAGAGGAAGAGAGAAAACGAGUGAGUCAGGGGAGAGGGCAUGAAAUGGAGAGAGAGAUGAAAAGAGAUGGAAGGACAGGAAAAGAAAAGAAGGGGACAGACAAGGAAAGAGAGGGAGAGGACAGACGUGAUGAGAAAAACAGAUGGAGGCGUUGAAAGGAAGACAGAACGAGGGAGUGAGAAAGAAAGGGACGAAAAGGGACUGAAAAAAGGAGAGGUGGCGUGUUGAAAAGCGAGACAGAGAAAUAGAUGGGGAGAUAAAGAUAAAUCGGAUGAGAGACAGAGAGAGAGUAGAGGGACAGCAGGAGAAAGGAAAGUGGGAAGAAACAUGAGAGAGAGGGAUGAGAGAGAGAGAGAAGGAGAAACAGAAAGACGUGAUUAAAAAAGCCUAGAUAGAGAAGGACAAAGAGAAACAGACAGCAAGAGAGGGAAAGGAAGGAGGGAAGAAUACGAGAAAGAGUUAGAGUGAGAGAGGUACUGAGAGGGAGAGAGAGAGAGAGGGAAAGGAAAGAGGGAAGAAUACGAGAAAGAGUCAGAGUGAGAGAGGUACACAGAGGGAGAGAGAGAGAGAGAGAGGGGGAAAGGAAAGAGGGAAGAAUACGAGAAAGAGUCAGAGUGAGAGAGGUACACAGAGGGAGAGAGAGAGAGAGAGGGAAAGGAAAGAGGGAAGAAUAUGAGAAACAGUCAGAGUGAGAGAGGUACAGAGAGAGAGAGAGAGGGAAGAGGAAGAAUACGAGAAAGAGUCAGAGUGAGAGAGGUACAGAGAG